GACGAACGCUGGCGGCGUGCUUAACACAUGCAAGUCGAACGGAAAGGCCCUGCGUUUUUGGGGUGCUCGAUUGGCGAACGGGUGAGUAAGACGUGAGUAACCGGCCCUUGACUUUGGGAUAACUUCAGGAAACUGGGGCUAAUACCGUAUAGGAUCUCCUCCUGCAUUGUGGGGGUUGGAAAUUUUCGGCGGGUGGGGAUGGACUCGCGGCUGAUCAGCUUGUUGGUUGGGUAGGGGCUGACCAAGGCAGUGACGGGUAGCCGGCCUGAGAGGGUGAACGGCGACAUUGGGACUGCGAUACGGAGCAGACUCCUACGGGAGGCAGUAGUGGGGAACAUUGCCCAAUGGGAGGGAGCCUGAUGAAGAAACGCCGCGUGCGGGAUGACGGCUUUCGGGUUGUAAACAGCUUUAGGCUGUGACGAAGCGUGAGUGACGGUAAUGGGUAAAGAAGCACCGGCUAACUACGUG
RNAcentral lists this ribosomal RNA (468 nucleotides) under uncultured bacterium. RNAcentral's name for it is "partial 16S ribosomal RNA". It matches the Rfam family "Bacterial small subunit ribosomal RNA", at positions 28 to 507 of the family's 1533-position model. The record is from RNAcentral.